AACGAACGCUGGCGGCAUGCCUAACACAUGCAAGUCGAACGAGACCUUCGGGGCUUGUUGCGCCCGGGUGCGUAACGCGGGGGAAGUUGCCCGUAGGUACGGUAUAACGUCCCGAAAGGGGAGUUAAGACCAGAUAAUGUCUUCCGACCAAAGAUUUAUCGUCUUUGGAUGGGUCCGCGUUGGAUUAGCUAGCUCGUAUGGUAAAAGCCUAUGAAGGCGACGAUCCAUAGCUGGUGUGAGAGGAUGAGCAGACACACUGGGACUGAGACACGGCACAGACUCCUACGGGAGGCAGCAGAGGGGGAUAGAGGACCAUGGGCGAAGUGCUGAUCCUGCACUGACGGGUAAGUGAUGAAGGCCUUAAGGUUGUAAAGCUCUUUUACCCGGGAUGAUAAUGACAGUACCGGGAGAAUAAGCGCCGGCUAACUCCGUG
This 433-nucleotide ribosomal RNA is filed under the name uncultured bacterium. Its description in RNAcentral is "partial 16S ribosomal RNA". It matches the Rfam family "Bacterial small subunit ribosomal RNA", at positions 29 to 507 of the family's 1533-position model. The record is from RNAcentral.